This 500-nucleotide ribosomal RNA is filed under the name uncultured eukaryote. RNAcentral's name for it is "SSU rRNA". It matches the Rfam family "Eukaryotic small subunit ribosomal RNA", at positions 34 to 532 of the family's 1831-position model. The record is from RNAcentral.
GUGUCCAGAUUAGCCAUGCAUGUCUCAGUAUAAACAACUUUAUACUGUAAACUGCGAACGGCUCAUUAUAUCAGCAAUUAUUUAUUUGAUGGUCUCUUACUACAUGGAUAACUGUGGUAAUUCUAGAGCUAAUACAUGCGUAAAAUCCCGACUCUCGCGGGGAGGGAUGUAUUUAUUAGAUAAAAAACCAAUGCGGGCUUGCCCGGUCUUGUGGUGAAUCAUAAUAACUUUUCCAAUCGCAUGGCUUCAUGCUGGCGAUAGUUCAUUCACAUUUCUGCCCUAUCACCUUUCGACGGUAUUGUACUGGACUACCGUGGCGUUAACGGGUGACGGAGAAUUAGGGUUCGAUUCCGGAGAGGGAGCCUGAAAAACGGCUACCACAUCCAAGGAAGGCAGCAGGCGCGCAAAUUAACCAAUCCUGACACAGGGAGGUAGUGACAAAAAAUAUCAAUAUCUGGCUUUUUUAAGUCGGGUAAUUGGAAUGAGUACAAUUUAAAUCC